This 460-nucleotide ribosomal RNA is filed under the name uncultured bacterium. RNAcentral describes it as "partial 16S ribosomal RNA". It matches the Rfam family "Bacterial small subunit ribosomal RNA", at positions 338 to 795 of the family's 1533-position model. The record is from RNAcentral.
CCUACGGGGGGCAGCAGUGAGGAAUAUUGGUCAAUGGACGAGAGUCUGAACCAGCCAAGUAGCGUGAAGGAUGACUGCCCUAUGGGUUGUAAACUUCUUUUAUAUGGGAAUAAAACGUUCCACGUGUGGGAUUUUGUAUGUACCAUAUGAAUAAGGAUCGGCUAACUCCGUGCCAGCAGCCGCGGUAAUACGGAGGAGCCGAGCGUUAUCCGGAUUUAUUGGGUUUAAAGGGAGCGUAGGUGGAUUGUUAAGUCAGUUGUGAAAGUUUGCGGCUCAACCGUAAAAUUGCAGUUGAAACUGGCAGUCUUGAGUACAGUAGAGGUGGGCGGAAUUCGUGGUGUAGCGGUGAAAUGCUUAGAUAUCACGAAGAACUCCGAUUGCGAAGGCAGUUCACUGGACUGCAACUGACACUGAGGCUCGAAGGUGUGGGUAUCAAACAGGAUUAGAUACCCCGGUAGUC